This 54-nucleotide small RNA is filed under the name Caenorhabditis elegans. RNAcentral's name for it is "Unclassified non-coding RNA Y43F8C.27". The record is from RNAcentral. Lineage: Eukaryota; Metazoa; Nematoda; Chromadorea; Rhabditida; Rhabditidae.
CGAUUUUAUUGCUUUUUGACAAGAGAAUGAUGAUGAUGAAGAGUUGAGAUUAGU